UGUGACAUCAUGCUAACGUCAUUGGUUCAACAUUUGUUUCAACAUGUAAUAGCCGUUGAACUAUAGUAUAAACUAAUGAUAUAAACACUGUUUUCUAACAGUUUAAGUUUUUAGAGUACAACGGUUGUUUUUACAUGGUCUUGAGUUCGACUCACGCAAUACUCCUAGCAUUAUUAAUUUCCUCCACAUUAUGCGCCUUGCAAAUAUAUAUUUUUAUAUUUAAAAUUCUUCCUUGUAAGGUCCAUGACGUGGACUUGUAUUAAAUAGAAGGAAAUCAUUAAUAAUGCUUAGAGCAUUGCAUGACUCUAAUUCAGAACCUCCUACGUACUUUGAUACCAUAUGAAAUAACCGCUGUACUCUAAAAUCUUAACCUACUAGAGAAUGAUAUUUAUAUAUUUUUAUAUUUGACGGUCCUCAAUC
This 420-nucleotide long non-coding RNA is filed under the name Ananas comosus (pineapple). Its description in RNAcentral is "long non-coding RNA (ACOM_LNC002236)". The record is from RNAcentral. Lineage: Eukaryota; Viridiplantae; Streptophyta; Magnoliopsida; Poales; Bromeliaceae.